RNA transcript from Oncorhynchus gorbuscha (pink salmon), 897 nucleotides. It is a transcript of the gene named N-alpha-acetyltransferase 50-like, with no coding region annotated. NCBI's taxonomy places the organism in Eukaryota, Metazoa, Chordata, Actinopteri, Salmoniformes, Salmonidae. The record is from RefSeq and is a predicted model, not a curated record. The transcript is spliced from 5 exons.
GUCGUUCUGCGCAUGCGGGGUCAGAGUUGACAGUGGAGGUUUGCGGUAGCAAAGCUAACAGUUAGCAACAUACAUGUGGAGGGUACGACAGGAGGAAACACCAACUCUGUCAAAAUUCCUCUACCCGAACUGUAAACUACUCAGAACUUCAACCACAUCGAAACUAAAGAAUAACAGUAGUUUACAAUGAAAGGUAGCCGGAUAGAGCUGGGGGACGUUACGCCCCACAACAUUAAACAGUUGAAACGCCUCAACCAGGUCAUCUUUCCCGUCAGCUACAAUGACAAGUUCUACAAGGACGUGCUCGAAGUGGGAGAGCUCGCCAAGCUAGCAUACUUCAAUGACAUUGCGGUGGGGGCAGUGUGCUGCAGAGUGGACCACUCUCAGAACCAGAAGAGACUGUAUAUCAUGACACUGGGCUGCCUAGCGCCCUACCGCAGGUUAGGCAUAGGAACAAAGAUGCUGAACCAUGUGUUAAACAUCUGCGAGAAGGAUGGCACCUUUGACAACAUUUACCUUCACGUGCAGAUCAGCAACGAGUCGGCCAUCGACUUCUACCAGAAGUUUGGCUUUGAGAUCAUCGAGACGAAAAAGAACUACUACAAGAGGAUAGAGCCUGCAGACGCCCACGUGCUUCAGAAGAGCCUGCGUAGCCCGUGUGCCCCCUGGGGAAGAGCUGCAGAAGACAGAGUAGGGGCUGCAGCCUCUGGAAAGAGCAUGGUCGUGCCCCCCUCCCCCAGAAACAGAACUGUGACAGAUGCUUAUGGGUUGACACAUUCGCCACUUUCUUCAAAGGAUGUUAAAAAGAAAGAAACAAAAAAUCUAAGUUUAAAAAAACAAAACAUGGCAUUUUUAUUUUGCAAAAAAAAGUCCCAAUAAAAGAUUUUUAAAAACUAA